AAUCAACGCUGGCGGCGUGCCUAACGCAUGCAAGUCGAACGCGAAAGCCCCGCAAGGGGUAAGUAGAGUGGCAAACGGGUGAGUAACACGUGGGUGACCUGCCUUCGAGUGGGGGAUAACGUCCCGAAAGGGACGCUAAUACCGCAUGACAUCCUGCUUUUGAAAAAGCGGAGAUCAAAGCUGGGGAUCGCAAGACCUAGCGCUUGAAGAGGGGCCCGCGCCUGAUUAGCUAGUUGGUGAGGUAACGGCUCACCAAGGCGACGAUCAGUAUCCGGCCUGAGAGGGCGGACGGACACACUGGGACUGAGACACGGCCCAGACUCCUACGGGAGGCAGCAGUGGGGAAUUGUUCGCAAUGGGCGCAAGCCUGACGACGCAACGCCGCGUGGAGGACGAAGAUCUUCGGGUCGUAAACUCCUGUCGAGCGGGACGAACGCUUCGCGGAUGAAUAAUCCGCGGAAUUGACGGUACCGCUAAAGGAAGCCCCGGCUAACUCCGUG
This 500-nucleotide ribosomal RNA is filed under the name uncultured bacterium. RNAcentral's name for it is "partial 16S ribosomal RNA". It matches the Rfam family "Bacterial small subunit ribosomal RNA", at positions 32 to 507 of the family's 1533-position model. The record is from RNAcentral.